GGAUUGUGGCUCAGUGGUAGAGUGUUUGCCUAGCAAGUGUGAGGCCCUGGGUUCAUUUCCCAGCACCG
RNAcentral lists this transfer RNA (68 nucleotides) under Marmota monax (woodchuck). RNAcentral describes it as "tRNA.Ala". The stretch from base 5 to 65 matches the Rfam family "tRNA", at positions 6 to 65 of the family's 71-position model. Rfam says of the family: Transfer RNA (tRNA) molecules are approximately 80 nucleotides in length. Their secondary structure includes four short double-helical elements and three loops (D, anti-codon, and T loops). The record is from RNAcentral. Lineage: Eukaryota; Metazoa; Chordata; Mammalia; Rodentia; Sciuridae.